This 100-nucleotide transfer RNA is filed under the name Malassezia vespertilionis. It matches the Rfam family "tRNA". From Rfam's summary of the family: Transfer RNA (tRNA) molecules are approximately 80 nucleotides in length. Their secondary structure includes four short double-helical elements and three loops (D, anti-codon, and T loops). The record is from Rfam by way of RNAcentral. Lineage: Eukaryota; Fungi; Basidiomycota; Malasseziomycetes; Malasseziales; Malasseziaceae.
GUGGCUAUAGUAUAGUGGUCAGUACGUAUCGUUGUGGUUUGGAUAUAAUUCAUCUACAACAAUUACCGAUGAGACGCCGGUUCGAUUCCGGCUAGCCACA